This 273-nucleotide ribosomal RNA is filed under the name uncultured Lachnospiraceae bacterium. RNAcentral describes it as "partial 16S ribosomal RNA". It matches the Rfam family "Bacterial small subunit ribosomal RNA", at positions 66 to 339 of the family's 1533-position model. Lineage: Bacteria; Bacillati; Bacillota; Clostridia; Lachnospirales; Lachnospiraceae. The record is from RNAcentral.
ACUUUUCGGAGGAUUUCAUUUGUGACUGAGCGGCGGACGGGUGAGUAACGCGUGGGUAACCUGCCUCAUACAGGGGGAUAACAGUUAGAAAUGACUGCUAAUACCGCAUAAGCGCACAGUACCGCAUGGUACAGUGUGAAAAACUCCGGUGGUAUGAGAUGGACCCGCGUUUGAUUAGCUAGUUGGUGAGGUAACGGCCCACCAAGGCGACGAUCAAUAGCCGACCUGAGAGGGUGACCGGCCACAUUGGGACUGAGACACGGCCCAGACUCC